This is a long non-coding RNA of Rhinichthys klamathensis goyatoka, 258 nucleotides long. RefSeq lists it as uncharacterized. Lineage: Eukaryota; Metazoa; Chordata; Actinopteri; Cypriniformes; Leuciscidae. The record is from RefSeq and is a predicted model, not a curated record. The transcript is spliced from 2 exons.
GGUGGGAAGCCAACCAGAGGGGAUGGGGAGCAGCUGGUCCCCCUUGACCAAAUUAAAAAGGCAGCCAUUAUUGAUGCUACAUUGAAGAAGUGGCCGGCAGCCAGCCGAGGGCAGAUAGGCACAUCUAUCAAUUCGAAGCUCACGGAGCUGAGAAGAUCAACAAGAUAAAUUGGUUUUUUUUUCUGUACAGUUUUUUGUCUUAUUUUUGUUCUUGUACUAUUUGAUUGUUCUUGAGUAAAUAAAUAAUUUAAAUUUCUA